Molecule: long non-coding RNA, 702 nt
Organism: Enhydra lutris kenyoni (northern sea otter)
Lineage: Eukaryota; Metazoa; Chordata; Mammalia; Carnivora; Mustelidae
Exons: 5
Source: RefSeq, a predicted model, not a curated record
CUGGGGUUUUUUUCUUUCUUUUGCGUCUUCGGCUCGUUCCCUUUUGCGUCCUCUCGGCUGCGCUUCAUCCGCUGUGGUGCGGGCCCGGCAACCCGCGUUUGCUGCUCUAUGUGGUCGGCGUGAUCGGAGGGUACAGAAUGGAUCCCAGAGAGGGGGUCGCUGCUGGGCCUUCAAGAGAGCCCCCCGUAGAGCUCUGCAGCCUUUCGUCUCCUGAUCUCCGGCGUAAGCAUUUGUAUCCUGGCCUGUCGUAGGAAACGCGUGGUCUGGGAGCAUCUUCGUGUGCUGGGCAAACUUGGAAAAGAAUGGAGAUUCAGCCGUAGCUAAUUUUACUUGUAAGUAAGAGUUACUGUUGGCGGAAAGCAGACUUCGAGUAGACCAGGAAUGAGAUGUUGGUUAGGAGCCCAGUGAGCCACAGGACAGUACGUAGAUGCAGCCUGAUGAGCUUGGUUCAUUCUGACCUGCAGCAGGAAUUUCUCAACUAUGGAGCUGGACUCCAAGUCUUGGAAAAGAUUGAUCCUGUGCUUUCCUGAGAAAGAGUGAUAGUUCUGGUUGAAUCUGUCUCAAAAAGGUUUUGUGUAACCUGAGGAUUGUCUAGAGGCCUGUGCCCAUUUUGGAGAAUCCAGGAGUAUGGUUAAACUUGGUAAAAUUUUUAGCUUGUAUCAUUCCUAUCUGGAUGAGAAAAUAAAAUUCUUAAAACAAAAA